RNAcentral lists this ribosomal RNA (644 nucleotides) under Brachybacterium sp. Its description in RNAcentral is "bacterial SSU rRNA". It matches the Rfam family "Bacterial small subunit ribosomal RNA", at positions 380 to 1037 of the family's 1533-position model. The record is from RNAcentral. Lineage: Bacteria; Bacillati; Actinomycetota; Actinomycetes; Micrococcales; Dermabacteraceae.
AGCCUGAUGCAGCGACGCCGCGUGGGGGAUGACGGCCUUCGGGUUGUAAACCCCUUUCAGUAGGGAAGAAGCGAGAGUGACGGUACCUGCAGAAGAAGCGCCGGCUAACUACGUGCCAGCAGCCGCGGUAAUACGUAGGGCGCAAGCGUUGUCCGGAAUUAUUGGGCGUAAAGAGCUUGUAGGUGGCUUGUCGCGUCUGCCGUGAAAACCCGAGGCUCAACCUCGGGCGUGCGGUGGGUACGGGCAGGCUAGAGUGUGGUAGGGGAGACUGGAACUCCUGGUGUAGCGGUGAAAUGCGCAGAUAUCAGGAAGAACACCGAUGGCGAAGGCAGGUCUCUGGGCCAUUACUGACACUGAGAAGCGAAAGCAUGGGUAGCGAACAGGAUUAGAUACCCUGGUAGUCCAUGCCGUAAACGUUGGGCACUAGGUGUGGGGGACAUUCCACGUUUUCCGCGCCGUAGCUAACGCAUUAAGUGCCCCGCCUGGGGAGUACGGCCGCAAGGCUAAAACUCAAAGGAAUUGACGGGGGCCCGCACAAGCGGCGGAGCAUGCUGAUUAAUUCGAUGCAACGCGAAGAACCUUACCAAGGCUUGACAUGCACUGGACGGCUGCAGAGAUGUGGCUUUCUUCGGACUGGUGCACAG